CACUUCGGCUUGCUAUUGAUUCAAAGUGCUGAGUUCUCUUAUUGCUGGAAACAAUUGUGUCGGAAAUGAUAUAUUGCAAUAUGGAGGAUGAAACAAGUCGAACAACCAAUGUCGCACCUCUGGCUCUUACUGAGUCUCUUGAUUGACUAGAGGGUUCCCUUUUUUCCUUAACAGUUUCUGGCUUUCUGCAAUGCUUGGAUUUUCAUCAUUGGGGUUAUAUAUGUCUUUGAAGUUGGGAGAUUUUGAAUAAGCCAUAAUGUACAUAUUUUUUACAAUUAGUUUGAAACUCAGUUGUAUUCGAUCCAUUGUUUAGUUUGUUAUUAAAAAUCUUCACAUCUCUUAUUAUUGCUAUUGUGA
Solanum dulcamara is the source of this 357-nucleotide long non-coding RNA. RefSeq lists it as uncharacterized. The record is from RefSeq and is a predicted model, not a curated record. NCBI's taxonomy places the organism in Eukaryota, Viridiplantae, Streptophyta, Magnoliopsida, Solanales, Solanaceae. The transcript is spliced from 2 exons.